UCUCCGUAGGUGAACCUGCGGAGGGAUCAUUACAGAGUUCAUGCCCUUCACGGGUAGAUCUCCCACCCUGUGUUAUUAUACUUUGUUGCUUUGGCAGGCCGCCCGCGUGGGCUACCGGCUCCAGCUGGUAAGUGCCUGCCAGAGGACCCCAAACUCUGAAUAUUUUAUUGUCUGAGUACUAUAUAAUAGUUUAAAACUUUCAACAACGGAUCUCUUGGUUCUG
This 223-nucleotide unclassified non-coding RNA is filed under the name plant metagenome. RNAcentral describes it as "partial contains small subunit ribosomal RNA, internal transcribed spacer 1, and 5.8S ribosomal RNA". The record is from RNAcentral.